Molecule: non-coding RNA, 610 nt
Organism: Megalopta genalis
Lineage: Eukaryota; Metazoa; Arthropoda; Insecta; Hymenoptera; Halictidae
Source: RefSeq, a predicted model, not a curated record
CUGCGCACAGUGACGAGUUUGUUCUGUCGAAGGCGUGCAAUUCUCACAUAGAACUGCAGUAAAUCGCAUUUUUGCAGAUGCAGCUGCAUUUUAAUGUGAAGCUAUUUUUUACGUAAAACCUAGUUAUAAAAAAGUAGCUAUCGAUAAUUAAUCGGAGCAAGAAAUUCUUGUAAAUAACUUCUCUACAGCGGUAAACAAUUUAAUCAUAUGAUAGUAUAUGAUAUAUCAGUGAUUGAUGCUGCGUAAAAUGAGAAAUCUAUUAAAACCCGUAUCGUCAUUCGAAAAUCAAUAUCUAGACCUAUGAUCUAAAAGAUCAUUAAAUUGUCAUUAAAUAUCGCUAAGCAAACAACUAUUAGAAAAAUGUUCAAAGGUUUGGUUAGUUUUGCUUUGGGCGUGUAUGCUGGCAUGUACAUCAGCCAAAACUACGAGAUACCCCGUGUGGAUGACCCCUCCAAAAUCAUUCAACGGAUAAAGGAAAUAACGGAUGAAUACAAAAAGAAAUAGCUCAGCUGAAAAUGUACAUUGUGUUUACUUUGCAGUAAGAAUGUUAAACAAGUUAGGUACUUAAGUAUGUAACAAAUUUAUUUUAAUAAAACAUUUUUAUGAGACA